UGGCACAACGUUGGACCAACGUAGAAAUAUCUUUUCUUAUGUUGGCACUAUGUUGGUCCAAGGUAGGUAUUUCUCAUUUUUUAUGUUGGCAAUUCGUUGGUCUAUUGUUUCAACCAAAUUACAAUGUAUGCUGCAUGAGUAGCUGUAUAUGAUAAAUACUCCGGAGCGCAUUUGAUCUUUUUUUGUAUUCCAAACUGCCAAAGUUUAAGGUAGCAAUUCUGUAUUUUUGUAUUACCCAUUGUUGUUACUGUCCUUGUUUUUUUCAUGAACUUUGCCUCUUUAAUUUUAUAUUUUGUGUGACGCUAAGAUAUUUCUUUGGCAAUGUUUGAUGGAUCGACCAGAUAAACUCUGUGUCAUUUGGUGUCUUGUAAAGAGUUGUCUCAUUAGCAAUCAUACCACAUCUUCUUUUUUCAUAUCAAUUUCAUUUAUUUCUUUAACAGAACAAAUGACGUAUGGCUUAUGGUUAGGCGAUCAUACAAAUAGUUUUUUCAGAGAUGUAAUUUUAGUUGUAUUGGUUCCAGAUCCAGAAUGAAAAUUAAAUAAUUCAGAAG
RNAcentral lists this long non-coding RNA (551 nucleotides) under Mytilus galloprovincialis (Mediterranean mussel). Lineage: Eukaryota; Metazoa; Mollusca; Bivalvia; Mytilida; Mytilidae. The record is from RNAcentral.